GUAGGGGCCAAGCGUUAUCCGGAUUUAUUGGGCGUAAAGAGCUCGUAGGCGGCUUGGCAAGUCGGUCGUGAAAGUCCGAGGCUCAACCUCGGAAUGCCGGUCGAAACUGCCAUGGCUAGGGUUCGGUAGAGGAGAGUGGAAUUCUCGGUGUAGCGGUGAAAUGCGCAGAUAUCGAGAGGGACACCAGUAGCGAAGGCGGCUCUCUGGGCCGAUACCGACGCUGAGGAGCGAAAGCGUGGGGAGCAAACAGGAUUAGAUACCCUGGUAGUCCACGCCGUAAACGGUGAUCACUAGGUGUGGCGGACUCAUUGACGUCUGCUGUGCCGGCGCUAACGCAUUAAGUGAUCCGCCUGGGGAGUACGGCCGCAAGGCUA
RNAcentral lists this ribosomal RNA (374 nucleotides) under uncultured organism. RNAcentral's name for it is "partial 16S ribosomal RNA". It matches the Rfam family "Bacterial small subunit ribosomal RNA", at positions 527 to 896 of the family's 1533-position model. The record is from RNAcentral.